GACGAACGCUGGCGGCGUGCUUAACACAUGCAAGUCGAACGGACAGGCCCUGCUUUUGUGGGGUGCUCGAGUGGCGCACGGGUGAGUAACACGUGAGUAACCUGCCCUUGACUUUGGGAUAACUUCUGGAAACUGGGGCUAAUACCGGAUAGGAGCUCCUGCUGCAUGGUGGUGGUUGGAAAGAUUCGGCGGUUGGGGCUCGUCUGGCAGGUUCUCCGCCUGUUGGUGGGGUAGUGGCUUACCAAGUCUUUGACGGGUAGCCUGCGUGGGAGGUGGACCGGGCACAAUGGUACUGAGGUACGGCGCAGAAGCGUACGGUAGGCAACGGGGGAAAAUAUUGCGCAAUGGGCGGAAGCCUGAUGCAACAGCGUCGGGUGCGGGAUAACGGCCUUCGGGUUGAAAACCGCUUUCUCCUGUGACGAAGCGUGAGUGACGGUAAUGGGUAAAGAAGCACCGGCUAACUACGUG
Molecule: ribosomal RNA, 468 nt
Filed under: uncultured bacterium
Lineage: Bacteria
Description: partial 16S ribosomal RNA
Rfam family: Bacterial small subunit ribosomal RNA
Source: RNAcentral